Sander lucioperca (pikeperch) is the source of this 102-nucleotide long non-coding RNA. RefSeq lists it as uncharacterized. The transcript is spliced from 3 exons. The record is from RefSeq and is a predicted model, not a curated record. Lineage: Eukaryota; Metazoa; Chordata; Actinopteri; Perciformes; Percidae.
AACGGUAAGAAACUUUUUAUAUAUUCACUUAUUUUAUAUCAACUUCUUGCUCAAAUAUAAUUUUUAAUAUGGCAUUACCAUUAGUUCAAGGUAUCGACAUUU